Molecule: ribosomal RNA, 737 nt
Filed under: uncultured archaeon
Lineage: Archaea
Description: bacterial SSU rRNA
Rfam family: Archaeal small subunit ribosomal RNA
Source: RNAcentral
CUGCCCAAGGGUUCGGGAUAACCCCGGGAAACUGGGGAUAAUACCGGAUGGAUCACUAGUGCUGGAAUGCUUGGUGGUUUAAAGGUAACGCCUUUGGAUGGGUCUGCGGCGGAUUAGGUUGACGCCGGUGUAACGUACCGGCGUGCCUGUAAUCCGUACGGGUUGUGGGAGCAAGAGCCCGGAGAUGGAUUCUGAGACACGAAUCCAGGCCCUACGGGGCGCAGCAGGCGCGAAAACUCUACAAUGCAGGCAACUGCGAUAGGGGGACAUCGAGUGGCAUCCACCUUGGGUGCCUGUCCAACCGUCUAAAAAACGGUUGUUAGCAAGGGCCGGGUAAGACCGGUGCCAGCCGCCGCGGUAAUACCGGCGGCUCGAGUGGUGGCCGAUAUUAUUGAGUCUAAAGGGUCCGUAGCCGGCUUUGCAAGUCCCCUGGGAAAUCCAGCGGCUUAACCGUUGGGCUUUCAUGGGAUACUACAUUGCUUGGGACUGGGAGAGGUAGGAGGUACUCGGGGGGUAGGGGUGAAAUCCUGUAAUCCUCCGGGGACCACCGGUGGCGAAGGCGUCCUACCAGAACAGGUCCGACGGUGAGGGACGAAAGCUAGGGGCACGAACCGGAUUAGAUACCCGGGUAGUCCUAGCCGUAAACGAUGCCCGCUAGGUGUCACGACGGUCGUGAAUCGUCGUGGUGCCGUAGGGAAGCCGCGAAGCGGGCCACUUGGGAAGUACGUCCGCAAGGC